AACGAACGCUGGCGGCGCGCCUAAUACAUGCAAGUCGAGCGAGAAGACGUAGCAAUACGUUUGUAAAGCGGCGAACGGGUGAGGAAUACAUGGGUAACCUACCCUCGAGUGGGGAAUAACUAGCCGAAAGGUUAGCUAAUACCGCGUACGCUCCUUGGACUUCGGUUCAGGGAGGAAAGCGAUACCGUGGGUAUCGCGCUCUUGGAUGGGCUCAUGUCCUAUCAGCUUGUUGGUGAGGAACGGCUCACCAAGGCUUCGACGGGUAGCUGGUCUGAGAGGACGAUCAGCCACACUGGCACUGCGACACGGGCCAGACUCCUACGGGAGGCAGCAGUAAGGAAUAUUGCGCAAAUGGGCGAAAGCCUGACGCAGCGACGCCGCGUGGGGGA
This 389-nucleotide ribosomal RNA is filed under the name uncultured bacterium. RNAcentral describes it as "bacterial SSU rRNA". It matches the Rfam family "Bacterial small subunit ribosomal RNA", at positions 29 to 408 of the family's 1533-position model. The record is from RNAcentral.